UCGAGGGUCGUCCAAUGGUCAGGACCGCGGACUUUGACUCCGCUGAUGGGGGUUCGAAUCCCUCCCCUCGAG
This 72-nucleotide transfer RNA is filed under the name Myxococcales bacterium. RNAcentral describes it as "tRNA-Gln". It matches the Rfam family "tRNA". From Rfam's summary of the family: Transfer RNA (tRNA) molecules are approximately 80 nucleotides in length. Their secondary structure includes four short double-helical elements and three loops (D, anti-codon, and T loops). The record is from RNAcentral. Lineage: Bacteria; Pseudomonadati; Myxococcota; Myxococcia; Myxococcales.